This 497-nucleotide ribosomal RNA is filed under the name uncultured bacterium. Its description in RNAcentral is "partial 16S ribosomal RNA". It matches the Rfam family "Bacterial small subunit ribosomal RNA", at positions 28 to 507 of the family's 1533-position model. The record is from RNAcentral.
GAUGAACGCUGGCGGCGUGCCUAAUACAUGCAAGUCGAGCGAACGGACGAGAAGCUUGCUUCUCUGAUGUUAGCGGCGGACGGGUGAGUAACACGUGGAUAACCUACCUAUAAGACUGGGAUAACUUCGGGAAACCGUAGCUAAUACCGGAUAAUAUUUUGAACCGCAUGGUUCAAAAGUGAAAGACGGUCUUGCUGUCACUUAUAGAUGGAUCCGCGCUGCAUUAGCUAGUUGGUAAGGUAACGGCUUACCAAGGCAACGAUGCAUAGCCGACCUGAGAGGGUGAUCGGUCACACUGGAACUGAGACAUGGUCCAGACUCCUACGGGAGGCAGCAGUAGGGAAUCUUCCGCAAUGGGCGAAAGCCUGACGGAGCAACGCCGCGUGAGUGAUGAAGGUCUUCGGAUCGUAAAACUCUGUUAUUAGGGAAGAACAUAUGUGUAAGUAACUGUGCACAUCUUGACGGUACCUAAUCAGAAAGCCACGGCUAACUACGUG